This 405-nucleotide ribosomal RNA is filed under the name uncultured bacterium. RNAcentral's name for it is "partial 16S ribosomal RNA". It matches the Rfam family "Bacterial small subunit ribosomal RNA", at positions 30 to 526 of the family's 1533-position model. The record is from RNAcentral.
AUUGAGCGCUGGCGGCAGGCCUAACACAUGCAAGUCGAACGAGUGGCGGACGGGUGAGUAAUGCUUGGGACUCUAGCUUAUGGAGGGGGAUAACUACGGGAAACUGUAGCUAAUACCGCGUACCAUAGGAUGAGCCCAAGUGGGAUUAGGUAGUUGGUGAGGGAAAGGCUCACCAAGCCGACGAUCUCUAGCUGGUCGGAGAGGAGGACCAGCAACACUGGGACUGAUACACGGCCCAGACUCCUACGAGAGGCAGCAGUGGGGAAUAUUGCGGAAUGGGGGCAACCUGACGCAGCCAGGCAGCGUGAGUGAAGAAGUCCUUCGGGUUGUAAGGUUCUUUCGGUAGCGAGGCGUUAACAACAGAAGAAGCACCGGCUAACUCCGUGCCAGCAGCCGCGGUAAUAC